AUUGAACGCUGGCGGCAUGCUUUACACAUGCAAGUCGAACGGCAGCGCGGGCUUCGGCCUGGCGGCGAGUGGCGAACGGGUGAGUAAUACAUCGGAACGUGCCCAGCAGUGGGGGAUAGCUCGGCGAAAGCCGGAUUAAUACCGCAUACGACCUGAGGGUGAAAGCGGGGGAUCUUCGGACCUCGCGCCAUUGGAGGGGCCGAUGGCAGAUUAGCUAGUUGGUGGGGUAAAGGCCUACCAAGGCGACGAUCUGUAGCUGGUCUGAGAGGACGACCAGCCACACUGGGACUGAGACACGGCCCAGACUCCUACGGGAGGCAGCAGUGGGGAAUUUUGGACAAUGGGCGAAAGCCUGAUCCAGCAAUGCCGCGUGUGUGAAGAAGGCCUUCGGGUUGUAAAGCACUUUUGGCGGGAACGAAAAGGACUGUGCCAAUACCACGGUUCGAUGACGGUACCCGCAGAAUAAGCACCGGCUAACUACGUG
This 484-nucleotide ribosomal RNA is filed under the name uncultured bacterium. Its description in RNAcentral is "partial 16S ribosomal RNA". It matches the Rfam family "Bacterial small subunit ribosomal RNA", at positions 29 to 507 of the family's 1533-position model. The record is from RNAcentral.